UUCAUUUUCCUCUGCAUUUUCAGCUACAAAACAGGAUGUCAAGCCUUUUUAUACACAAUAGAUGAAGAUGUCUGAGGCAGAAGAUAACUAACACAGUCUGAAGGAAGAGUUUUCACUCACACAGAAGGACGCUAGACUAAAGAGAAACUGGAGAGAUCUAAUGGGGCAGAAAUACACCCCAUUAUUAAUUGUAACUGGGGAUUUCGGAAAAGUACCUGGAUGGAGACAGGGUUCCGUUAAGCAUCAGCGUAGAGUCCUGAACCCUUCAAUCAGUGCCAUGUGGGAGAGUCCGUGGUGGUGCGUGAGGCGUGGCAGAGUGGGAGGAUCCGGAAGCAGAGAGAUCACAUUUCAUCAGCACCGGAAGCAGUGGAAACAGGGAUUGAGUCUGGGUGGUAAAUCCUCAAAGCCCAUCCCCGGUGGUGUACUUCUUAUCAAGGCUCUGCCACCUGCAAGUCUUACUUACAACUUCCUCAAACAGCACCACCUGCGGCGACCAAGUGUUCAAAUUGACGAGCCUACAGGGAACACCGCACAUUCAAACUACCAUAGGAUACCAGAUGCAUGCCAGCAGAGAUUACAGGGGUCAUAAAAGGGCUGAGUCACAAAGAA
Rattus norvegicus (Norway rat) is the source of this 609-nucleotide long non-coding RNA. RefSeq lists it as uncharacterized. NCBI's taxonomy places the organism in Eukaryota, Metazoa, Chordata, Mammalia, Rodentia, Muridae. The record is from RefSeq and is a predicted model, not a curated record.